This 64-nucleotide transfer RNA is filed under the name Chattonella subsalsa. The record is from RNAcentral. Lineage: Eukaryota; Raphidophyceae; Chattonellales; Chattonellaceae.
GUUUACCCUGUGGAACCUUCACCUUCAGAUGACCUCAGAAAAGAUUACCAACAAAAAGGAAAAG